Molecule: long non-coding RNA, 1803 nt
Filed under: Aquilegia coerulea
Lineage: Eukaryota; Viridiplantae; Streptophyta; Magnoliopsida; Ranunculales; Ranunculaceae
Description: long non-coding RNA (ACOE_LNC001582)
Source: RNAcentral
AAAAACAUAAGAAUACACAGUUUGUUGUCGACAACUUUUUACACGUACUUGUGCAAUCCAUAUUAACAUACAAAAUUAUCUAGCUACAAAAUGAUAUGGUAUCGAGCAUCAACAUAAGUUUUCAAUACAUAAACAAAGGGAAAAAAUACAGAGGGAGAUUUUCGGUGUAUAAGUAAAUCUAACUUUCUUGAACAUCAACAUAAGUUUUCAAUACAAAAAUGAUCAACUCUGCUCAAUGCACAGACAUAAGAAAGAUCAAAUACAAAUAACACUCACUGGUAACUUUGUAUCUUGGACGUAGAAAAUAUUACAAACAAAAAUAAGGAAUGCUCUAAUAUUCUCAACAAAUUCUUUAACAAUUUUCAAGAUCCUCAAGUAAUUUCUUUGGUGCGUUUUUUUCUGUGUACUUUCGCAAAAAUCUCUGUAAUAAACCAGUGAUCCCUCUUCUUUGUAAGUUGUCAAAGAAAAUUUUCUGCAUAUCCAUAUACCUGUCCAAGGUAACAAAUUGCAACAUGAGGAGGUGUCGGCAAAUUAACACAAUUCGGGAAGUUGAUUAAAAUUCUGAUCCUUACUAUUAACAUACCUAACAAGGAUGAGAGAUGAUAGCAUAAAAUUCUGCAAGAAAUCAUAGUAUUGACAAUCACUAUACAUGCAAAAAUCAAGCUAAUAAGGGGUUGUAACGAUUUAAUCAAAGGAGUUAUUGGUGUCAGGGGGUGACACAUCUAAACACCUUGGUCCUGACACACCUAAUUAUGGAAAAUAGUUGCAGGUUGGCGCCAUACGGGAAGCCUAACGCCUUGCCUCUGCCCUGACAAGGCCUCGUUUCCCUCUACUACUACGAAACUCGAAUUCAAGCCUGCAGUCUCUAGUUUCUCAUGCACAGACACACAAACCUAGUGGAAAAAGGAAGGUCCCUUUAUACCAACUAAUAUUCCAGUUAGAAAUGCGAGCUCAUCCCUUUGUAUUCUAUGCCUCAAACUUUUUGCUGUUGUUUCUCAGUUUCCCGUCCCUGUUUCUUGUCAUCUUUUGUCACUAAUAAUGGUAUCUAAUUAUGUCAUUGCAACUGGUUUAUUGCUAAUAUACAGAGAAUUUAUCAUGUUGGGCCAUAUAUUUUGCGACAUUCUUAUUUCACGAGAGGCAUGAAGUUUAGAGUAUAAAGUUGUAGACUCGAUCGAACUAGAACAAAUCAAGCAGAGAAUGCUAUAUAGGAGGGUCCACUAUGCUGAAUGCUCUCUAACAAAUCUAUUUGCAAAAGGAAGUUGUGAACUUAUAGAAAAAGUUGUGAAUUACUAGCUUCAUCAAUAGAAAAGCAUAAGAAAAUGAUUAAGAACAAAAUAAAAGACAAAUCAAACAACACCCAUCCCAUUUAAAUUAUAUCACCAGUGAUUUUGUAAUUAGGAAUAAGGGUAUGAGUCAAAUACCUUUAAAAUGAUCUCUUUAGUAAGCUGUGAGCAUCCAUGAAUCCAAAUAAAAAAUACACAUUUGAUAAAAUCCAAUAGCAAUUUCGUCAAAUAGGUUGUAAACAAAAACCUUCUCUCAGACCAAUAAAGGUAACACAGAUUGAUUAGUGGGUGGAGAGAGAGAGGAAUUUGUAUUGAAAGGAGAAAUUACUGAUAAACAAACAACUACUACAACUCUCCAAGAUUAAUGGAUGAACAGCAAAAAGAAAUUAGUGAUGAACGACGAAGACAAAUCCACAAUGAAGGGUUUUGGCAAAGAAACACAGAGACCAUCAAUAGACAAAGGAGAGUCUUCGGUUUUCACAAAAUAUUUUGGAUCGGAUCGGCCUUUUGUUUGGAAUUA